This 505-nucleotide ribosomal RNA is filed under the name Paenibacillus lautus. RNAcentral's name for it is "bacterial SSU rRNA". It matches the Rfam family "Bacterial small subunit ribosomal RNA", at positions 660 to 1164 of the family's 1533-position model. Lineage: Bacteria; Bacillati; Bacillota; Bacilli; Caryophanales; Paenibacillaceae. The record is from RNAcentral.
AGUGGAAUUCCACGUGUAGCGGUGAAAUGCGUAGAUAUGUGGAGGAACACCAGUGGCGAAGGCGACUCUCUGGGCUGUAACUGACGCUGAGGCGCGAAAGCGUGGGGAGCAAACAGGAUUAGAUACCCUGGUAGUCCACGCCCUAAACGAUGAAUGCUAGGUGUUAGGGGUUUCCAUACCCUUGGUGCCGAAGUUAACACAUUAAGCAUUCCGCCUGGGGAGUACGGUCGCAAGACUGAAACUCAAAGGAAUUGACGGGGACCCCCACAAGCCGUGGAAUAUGUGGUUUAAUUCCAAGCAACGCCAAAAACCUUACCAAGUCUUGACAUCCCUCUGAAUCCUCUAGAGAUAGAGGCGGCCUUCUGGACAGACGUGACACGUGGUGCAUGGUUGUCGUCAGCUCGUGUCGUGAGAUGUUGGGUUAAAUCCCGCAACGAGCGCAACCCUUGAUUUUAGUUGCCAGCACUUUGGGUGGGCACUCUAGAAUGACUGCCGGUGACAAACC